GAUGAAGAACGUAGCGAAAUGCGAUAAGUAGUGUGAAUUGCAGAAUUCAGUGAAUCAUCGAAUCUUUGAACGCACAUUGCGCCCCUUGGUAUCCCGAGGGGCAUGCCUGUUCGAGCGUCAUUUCACCACUCAAGCCUGGCUUGGUGUUGGGCGACGUCCUCUUUGGGGACGCGCCUCGAAACGCUCGGCGGCGUGGCACCGGCUUUAAGCGUAGCAGAAUCUUUCGCUUUGGAAGUCGGGGCCCCGUCUGCCGGAAGACCUGCUCGCAAGGUUGACCUCGGAUCAAGCAGGGAUACCCGCUGAACUUAAGCAUAUCAAUAAGCGGAGGA
Molecule: unclassified non-coding RNA, 329 nt
Filed under: soil metagenome
Description: partial contains 5.8S ribosomal RNA, internal transcribed spacer 2, and large subunit ribosomal RNA
Rfam family: 5.8S ribosomal RNA (bases 1-120)
Source: RNAcentral